CCUACGGGGUGCAGCAGUGAGGAAUAUUGGUCAAUGGGCGAGAGCCUGAACCAGCCAAGUCGCGUGAGGGAAGACGGUCCUACGGAUUGUAAACCUCUUUUGUCAGGGAGCAAGGAGCGCCACGAGUGGUGCGGCGAGAGUACCUGAAGAAAAAGCACCGGCUAACUCCGUGCCAGCAGCCGCGGUAAUACGGGGGGUGCAAGCGUUGUCCGGAAUCAUUGGGCGUAAAGAGUUCGUAGGCGGCACGUAAAGUCUGGUGUUAAAGGCAGAGGCUCAACUUCUGUACGGCACUGGAUACUUGCGAGCUAGAAUGCGGUAGAGGUAAAGGGAAUUCCUGGUGUAGCGGUGAAAUGCUUAGAUAUCAGGAGGAACAUCGGUGGCGUAAGCGCUUUACUGGGCCGUAAUUGACGCUGAGGAACGAAAGCCAGGGUAGCAAAUGGGAUUAGAUACCCCUGUAGUC
This 460-nucleotide ribosomal RNA is filed under the name uncultured bacterium. RNAcentral describes it as "partial 16S ribosomal RNA". It matches the Rfam family "Bacterial small subunit ribosomal RNA", at positions 338 to 795 of the family's 1533-position model. The record is from RNAcentral.